This 376-nucleotide RNase P RNA is filed under the name Desulfuromonas sp. RNAcentral describes it as "RNase P RNA component class A". It matches the Rfam family "Bacterial RNase P class A". From Rfam's summary of the family: Ribonuclease P (RNase P) is a ubiquitous endoribonuclease, found in archaea, bacteria and eukarya as well as chloroplasts and mitochondria. Its best characterised activity is the generation of mature 5'-ends of tRNAs by cleaving the 5'-leader elements of precursor-tRNAs. Lineage: Bacteria; Pseudomonadati; Thermodesulfobacteriota; Desulfuromonadia; Desulfuromonadales; Desulfuromonadaceae. RNAcentral also lists the same sequence under 1 other name. The record is from RNAcentral.
CGAAGAAGCACAGGCGAUCGCCGGUUUCGCCUGCGAAACGGGAGGAAAGUCCGGGCUCCGCAGGACAGGAUGGUUCCUAACGGGAACCGGGGGUGACCCCAGGGACAGUGCCACAGAGAGCAGACCGCCGUGCAUGGCACGGUAAGGGUGAAAGGGUGAGGUAAGAGCUCACCAGCGGUUCUGGUGACAGAGCCGGCUCGGUAAACCCCAUCCGGAGCAAGGCCGCAUAGGGAAGCGCUUGAGGGUGGUCCGCCCGAAGCUUCCGGGUUGGCUGCUUGAGGCCGUCGGCAACGGCGGUCCUAGAGGAAUGAUCGCCCAUCGUCGAGCCGGUAACGGCUGACGGGGACAGAACCCGGCUUAUGGGCUUCUUCGACCU